Molecule: ribosomal RNA, 393 nt
Filed under: marine Metazoa environmental sample
Lineage: Eukaryota; Metazoa
Description: SSU rRNA
Rfam family: Eukaryotic small subunit ribosomal RNA
Source: RNAcentral
AGCUCCAAUAGCGUAUAUUAAAGUUGUUGCAGUUAAAAAGCUCGUAGUUGGAUCUCAGGCGCAGGCGGGCGGUCCGGCUCGCGCCGGUUCACUGCCCGUAUCUCCUGCCCUACCGUUUGCCGGCUCUCUCCCGCGGGGGCUCUUCGCUGAGCGUCCCGGGGGGCCGGUGCGUUUACUUUGAAAAAAUUAGAGUGUUCAAAGCAGGCCUCGGCAGCCUGAAUAAUGGUGCAUGGAAUAAUGGAAUAGGACCUCGGUUCUAUUUUGUUGGUUUUCGGAACGGAGGUAAUGAUUAACAGGGACAAACGGGGGCAUUCGUAUUGCGGCGUUAGAGGUGAAAUUCUUGGAUCGCCGCAAGACGAGCUACUGCGAAAGCAUUUGUCAAGAAUGUUUUCA